GCUCGGUUGAUCUAGUUGGUUAUGAUGUGGACCUAAUACGACUCUGUGUUUUAGUCCAAUGUCGGCGGUUCGAUCCCGCCACUGAGCA
Molecule: transfer RNA, 88 nt
Filed under: Rhodotorula mucilaginosa
Lineage: Eukaryota; Fungi; Basidiomycota; Microbotryomycetes; Sporidiobolales; Sporidiobolaceae
Description: tRNA-Ile
Source: RNAcentral